RNAcentral lists this ribosomal RNA (403 nucleotides) under uncultured prokaryote. Its description in RNAcentral is "bacterial SSU rRNA". It matches the Rfam family "Bacterial small subunit ribosomal RNA", at positions 355 to 776 of the family's 1533-position model. RNAcentral also lists the same sequence under 1 other name. The record is from RNAcentral.
UGGGGAAUAUUGGGCAAUGGGGGAAACCCUGAUGCAGCAACGCCGCGUGAGCGAAGAAGGCCUUCGGGUCGUAAAGCUCUGUCCUAAGGGAAGAAAAGGACGGUACCUUAGGAGGAAGCCCCGGCUAACUACGUGCCAGCAGCCGCGGUAAUACGUAGGGGGCGAGCGUUAUCCGGAAUCACUGGGCGUAAAGGGUGCGUAGGCGGCUCUACAAGUCAGGGGUGAAAGGCUACGGCUUAACCGUAGUAAGCCUUUGAAACUGUGGGGCUUGAGUGCAGGAGAGGAGAGUGGAAUUCCUAGUGUAGCGGUGAAAUGCGUAGAUAUUAGGAGGAACACCAGUGGCGAAGGCGGCUCUCUGGACUGCAACUGACGCUGAGGCACGAAAGCGUGGGUAGCGAACAGG